This 390-nucleotide unclassified non-coding RNA is filed under the name soil metagenome. RNAcentral describes it as "partial contains 5.8S ribosomal RNA, internal transcribed spacer 2, and large subunit ribosomal RNA". The stretch from base 2 to 121 matches the Rfam family "5.8S ribosomal RNA", at positions 37 to 154 of the family's 154-position model. The record is from RNAcentral.
GUGAAGAACGCAGUGAAAUGCGAUACUUGGUGUGAAUUGCAGAAUCCCGUGAACCAUCGAGUCUUUGAACGCAAGUUGCGCCCGAAGCCAUUAGGCCGAGGGCACGCCUGCCUGGGCGUCACACGUCGUUGCCCCCCCAUCUACUCCUUCGGGAUUGCGGGGGGCGGAUGAUGGCCUCCCGUGCGCCUCGCCGCGCGGUUGGCAUAAAUGCCAAGUCCUCGGCGACGCACGCCACGACAAUCGGUGGUUGCGAAACCUCGGUUGCCCGUCGUGUGCGGUCGUCGCGCAUCGAGGGCUCGAAAAAAUUGCCGGGUUCCGGCUCGGCUUUCAACGCGACCCCAGGUCAGGCGGGGUUACCCGCUGAAUUUAAGCAUAUCAAUAAGCGGAGGA